ACAUUUCUACUACCAAAACAAAUACACAUUAAUAAACAUAAUUUUUAAAUUAUUAAAUAAUCAUAGAAAUUAUAGCUAGUUUGAGCUUUGCAAAUCCACUUGUCACCACCAUGCAAAAUUCUCAAAUGAGAGAAAAUAAAACGCGUAGAAAUUAAAAGAUGACGCGAUCAAUGAUCAAGAUGGGUAAUCUUGAGCUUUUAGUGAUGCUCUGUUAUAUAAGUUGAUCUAUCGUUUCAUAAUUCAUUUCUUUCACUCUCUCUCUCUCUAACAGAUUUUGGCUCUCGUUUUCUUUCUCCAUCUCUCUCUCUCUGCUUUGCUCACGUAAACAUGGAAGAUCAAGAACCUUUAGAGAUUCAUCAGCACGACUUUGCUCCGUCGGAUUCUCAUCUCGAGAACGACGACGAAGUAAUGUGUUUCAGAGAGGUCUCCUACUCCGAUCUCAAGACGGCGACCAAGAACUUCAGUUCCGACGAGAUUGUAUCGGAGAAAGCAGAGGAAUCAUCCAAUAUCAUCUACAAGGGCGAAUCACAGAGCUCCGGCUCCAUUGCUGUCAAGUACUUCAAGAACAUGGCUUGGCCUUAUCGUGAUCAGUUUGCGGAAGAGGCACGAAAAGUGGGGAAGAUUAGGCACAAGGGAGUCGUGAAGAUGAUUGGAUGUUGCUGUGAUGGAGAUGAAAGGUUUCUUGUUGCAGAGUUUUUGCCAAAUGAUACUCUUGCUAAGCGUUUCUUGCAACAGGAGAAUCACACCAUGGAAUGAUCAUAGCUGAAGCUUUGGAUCAUUGUAGUACUGUAGGUUUUACAUCUUACAAUAAUUUAAAUGCCUACACGGUUCCCUUUGAUGAGGAGGGUGAUGCCUGUCUUUCGUGUUUUGGCUUGAUGAAAGAGAGAAAGGAUGAUCAAAGCACACACAACAGGAAGCGUUGUGAACCCUGAAAGUAUGACAUACAGAUUUGGUUAUUUUCUCUUAACUUUGCUAACGGGAAAGCAAAUUCCUUUAGACCUUUCUAUACUUGAAAAGGAUGUCAUUGAGCUAAUGGAUCCAAAUUUAGAGGGCGAGCUCUCAAUGUCUGCAAUACAAUGAUAGACUCAACAUCACUGAGCUUACUGCAAAACUUGAACUCUUGCAAAAUAAAGCACAACAGGAGGAGGGAGCAUCUUCAAGUCCACAGGAACAACUUGCACCUUUGCAACGUCCCCCCACAAAACCAGCAACCAGAGUUGCAGGAUUUCGCCGGUCUGUUCCCAGACGCGAACAGAAGACGACUCCUAUUCAGAGCGAUGAAGAGAUACAAGCGCAAAACAGAGAGAAACUCGAACAAAUGCAGAUGAGAGAAGUUCAAAAGGCUAAAAACCAGCUUGAAAAGCCUAAAGCUAAGAACAAAAUGGGACCUAGCAAACCUGGCCAGUCCACAAAGCCAAGAAGGAAUCAGUUUUAGGAGGGUUUUAUUGGAUACAUGAAUUCAUCAUUCUAUCUACCAGACUUUAAGAAAUUGUAUUUUGCAUUGAGAUAAUGAUGGUAACUUAACCCGGAAGAGCUCUAACACCUGA
Long non-coding RNA from Arabidopsis lyrata subsp. lyrata, 1547 nucleotides. RefSeq lists it as uncharacterized. The record is from RefSeq and is a predicted model, not a curated record. Lineage: Eukaryota; Viridiplantae; Streptophyta; Magnoliopsida; Brassicales; Brassicaceae. The transcript is spliced from 7 exons.